GUCAUUUUUUAUCAUAGAGACAUAAGUAAUAUAUCAAAUGAAACUAUAGAAUGUCUUCUUUUUUUUGUGUACACUCACAAUCAAAAUAAAACUUUGUGCUUUUUAAAAAUAAAUAAAAUAUACAGGGUGUGCUGUCCUGCCAUCUCCGUCUCUGCAAACAUCAUUCUAAAACGUCACUAAAAGUAACUAAAAUAGACGGCUUAUACAUGCUACAUGGACAUGAGAGAUAUGUCUUUGCAAAGCUUUAAGUGUCUACUUUUAAACGAAACAAAUAUACAGCAUGCUUGUAUACCUGUUACUUUCCUGUCAGUUAUGCAUAGGUAAUGGUAUGAGAGUAGUAUCUUAUAUGCUAAUAAUAACAGGGUUUUUUUUUUUUUUUUACAAUUUGUUUUUUUAGGAAUGUGGAUCCAUCACUCUCGCAUUCACCUGCAAUUCCCACUAAGAGGGCACCCAGCAACACAGGCGGAAAUGAGAAAGACUAUAGCCCUAAUGAGAGUGCUCCAAAACCCCUUGCAAAAAAGGCCAAGAAAAACAUUCAGACAAGCAACAGGCAUUCAGCUCUGUCAUGGAAAACAGAUAAUGACACUGACAUGGUUCCACAGACUCUGAGAUUCCUACCUGCACGGGAACCUGGACCACAGCUGCGUCCUGCUGAUGAACACACUCCUAAGAGUCUCUUCAAAAUGUUCAAAAUGCAAGGAAUAAUGCCACCGCUGGUCGUCGGAACUGCAUGCUUUGCAAAGUACAGCUUGGUAAAAGGCAAGACACACCUUGGAAAUGCCAGGCAUGUGACAUUUUCUUGUGUCUUCAGUUGAAAAGGAACUGUUUUCAAAAAUGGCACACAGAUGUGUGACUGUUCAGAUUCUCUGUUCACCACCUCUCACUGACCAUUGGGCUGCAAAGAUUAUCUAUAUGUGAUCAAGCAGGUUAUGUAUAGGGUGUAAAAGUGGGCUUUUUUUAUAAACCUUACCUUUAUUUGCCUGUAUACACAAAAUGUGCCUUUGACCCUAGUUUAUAUGUGGAUUAUAUUGUUAACUUUAUUUUAAAUAAAAAAGAAAAAAAACAA
Long non-coding RNA from Megalobrama amblycephala (Wuchang bream), 1066 nucleotides. RefSeq lists it as uncharacterized. The transcript is spliced from 2 exons. The record is from RefSeq and is a predicted model, not a curated record. Lineage: Eukaryota; Metazoa; Chordata; Actinopteri; Cypriniformes; Xenocyprididae.